GCAUAUCAAUAAGGCGGGAGGAAAAGAAAACUAACAAGGAUUUCCCCUAGUAACGGCGAAGUGAAGCGGGAUGAGCUCAAAUUUAAAAUCUGGCUGGGUUUACUAGUCCGAAUUGUAGUUUAAAGAAGCGUUUUCGGUGGCAGCCUGGGUAUAAAUCCUUUGGAAUAGGGUAUCAUAGAGGGUGAGAAUCCCGUCUUUGACUCAGUGAAUGCUACUAUGUGAUACGUUUUCAAAGAGUCGAGUUGUUUGGGAAUGCAGCUCAAAAUGGGUGGUAAAUUUCAUCUAAAGCUAAAUAUUGGCGAGAGACCGAUAGCGAACAAGUACCGUGAGGGAAAGAUGAAAAGAACUUUGAAAAGAGAGUUAAACAGUACGUGAAAUUGUUGAAAGGGAAACGUUUGACACCAGUCAUGCGGGUGGAAAAUCAGUCUUUUAGAGUAGGGAGUGGUGGGGGUUCGGACCGCAAGGCUGGCCUUUAUUUCAUCUCUGCUCUAAUGGAUGCACUUUUUCAUUUGCAGGUCAACAUCAGUUUCUUCUGCUGGACAAAACUCCGAGAGAAGGUAGCAGCUUAGGCUGUGUUAUAGCUCUGGAGCGAUACAGUGGAGGGGACUGAGGUUUUCGCAGUGUGUGCUUUCGGGCAAGGUUGAUUGGGUGCUAUGUGAUCGUUCGGUGUACAAUGCAUGCAUUUUGCGCUGUGUCUUUUGCAUACUCGCCUGACUCGACUCUUCCACGCUUAGGAUGUUGACUUAAUGGUUUUAAACGACCCGUCUUGAAACACGGACCAAGGAGUCUAACAUAUAUGCAAGUGUUUGGGUGGCAAACCCAUACGCGUAAUGAAAGUGAACGUAGGUGCGAUCCGCAAGGUGCAGCAUCGACCGAUCUUUGAUAUUUUUGGAUAGAUUUGAGUAAGAGCAUAUAUGCUGGGACCCGAAAAGAUGGUGAACUAUGCCCUGAAUAGGGUGAAAGCCAGAGGAAACUCUGGGUGGAGGCUCGUAGCGAUUCUGAACGUGCAAAUCGAUCGUCAAAUUUGGGUAUAGGGGGCGAAAGACUAUCGACCAAUCUAGUAGCUGCUUCUGCC
This 1075-nucleotide ribosomal RNA is filed under the name Mortierella gemmifera. Its description in RNAcentral is "LSU rRNA". It matches the Rfam family "Eukaryotic large subunit ribosomal RNA", at positions 38 to 961 of the family's 3401-position model. The record is from RNAcentral. Lineage: Eukaryota; Fungi; Mortierellomycota; Mortierellomycetes; Mortierellales; Mortierellaceae.